Molecule: ribosomal RNA, 251 nt
Filed under: uncultured bacterium
Lineage: Bacteria
Description: partial 16S ribosomal RNA
Rfam family: Bacterial small subunit ribosomal RNA
Source: RNAcentral
ACGGAGGGUGCAAGCGUUAAUCGGAAUCACUGGGCGUAAAGCGCACGUAGGCGGCUUGGUAAGUCAGGGGUGAAAUCCCACAGCCCAACUGUGGAACUGCCUUUGAUACUGCCAGGCUUGAGUACCGGAGAGGGUGGCGGAAUUCCAGGUGUAGGAGUGAAAUCCGUAGAUAUCUGGAGGAACAUCGGUGGCGAAGGCGGCCACCUGGACGGUAACUGACGCUGAGGUGCGAAAGCGUGGGUAGCAAACAG